CAGAGACGGGACAAUGAUAGGCAAACAUCCUAAGAGGAAACGGACAGAGGACUAUAAAUUAAACAAGAGAGGCUAAAAUCAGGCCAGAAGGGAGACCCUUACCAUUACUAGUGCGGCUUUCCAGCAGUGGAGAGAACUCCGGGAGCUGAAAGGCCUAAAAAUAUACAUAGAAGUUGCUGCUCGACAGCACCUUCUGUCAGGCAGCACCACCACCUGAACUCAAUUAAACUCUGCUGCUGACCCAUUUCCCUAGCAAUGAGCUCAGGGAAGAAUCUGACAAAUGCAAGUUCAUGCCUGCAUGUGCCCAGAGGAUUGUGGCUUCAAGGAACACUCGUAGAUCAAAACUCUGAGGGUCAUGCAGAGGCUGGAGUCACUUACACCUGAUGUCUACACGUGACACCCUUUAGCAG
Lates calcarifer (barramundi perch) is the source of this 410-nucleotide long non-coding RNA. RefSeq lists it as uncharacterized. NCBI's taxonomy places the organism in Eukaryota, Metazoa, Chordata, Actinopteri, Centropomidae. The transcript has 3 exons. The record is from RefSeq and is a predicted model, not a curated record.